GGGGAUGUGGCUCAGUGGUAGAGCGCUUACUAGCAAGUAGGAGGCCCUGGGUUCAAUCCUCAGCACUACA
RNAcentral lists this transfer RNA (70 nucleotides) under Marmota monax (woodchuck). RNAcentral describes it as "tRNA.Undet". The stretch from base 6 to 65 matches the Rfam family "tRNA", at positions 6 to 65 of the family's 71-position model. Rfam says of the family: Transfer RNA (tRNA) molecules are approximately 80 nucleotides in length. Lineage: Eukaryota; Metazoa; Chordata; Mammalia; Rodentia; Sciuridae. The record is from RNAcentral.